RNAcentral lists this ribosomal RNA (1031 nucleotides) under Bacillus sp. (in: firmicutes). RNAcentral describes it as "bacterial SSU rRNA". It matches the Rfam family "Bacterial small subunit ribosomal RNA", at positions 24 to 1044 of the family's 1533-position model. The record is from RNAcentral. Lineage: Bacteria; Bacillati; Bacillota; Bacilli; Caryophanales; Bacillaceae.
UGCAGACGACGCGCGGCGUGCCUAAACUUGCAAGUCGAGGGGAAAGAUGGGAGCUUGCUCCUGAUGUAGCGGCGGACGGGUGAGUAACACGUGGGUAACUGCCUGUAAGACUGGGAUAACUCCGGGAAACCGGGGCUAAUACCGGAUGGUUGUUUGAACCGCAUGGUUCAGACAUAAAAGGUGGCUUCGGCUACCACUUACAGAUGGACCCGCGGCGCAUAGCUAGUUGGUGAGGUAACGGCUCACCAAGGCGACGAUGCGUAGCCGACCUGAGAGGGUGAUCGGCCACACUGGGACUGAGACACGGCCCAGACUCCUACGGGAGGCAGCAGUAGGGAAUCUUCCGCAAUGGACGAAAGUCUGACGGAGCAACGCCGCGUGAGUGAUGAAGGUUUUCGGAUCGUAAAGCUCUGUUGUUAGGGAAGAACAAGUGCCGUUCAAAUAGGGCGGCACCUUGACGGUACCUAACCAGAAAGCCACGGCUAACUACGUGCCAGCAGCCGCGGUAAUACGUAGGUGGCAAGCGUUGUCCGGAAUUAUUGGGCGUAAAGGGCUCGCAGGCGGUUUCUUAAGUCUGAUGUGAAAGCCCCCGGCUCAACCGGGGAGGGUCAUUGGAAACUGGGGAACUUGAGUGCAGAAGAGGAGAGUGGAAUUCCACGUGUAGCGGUGAAAUGCGUAGAGAUGUGGAGGAACACCAGUGGCGAAGGCGACUCUCUGGUCUGUAACUGACGCUGAGGAGCGAAAGCGUGGGGAGCGAACAGGAUUAGAUACCCUGGUAGUCCACGCCGUAAACGAUGAGUGCUAAGUGUUAGGGGGUUUCCGCCCCUUAGUGCUGCAGCUAACGCAUUAAGCACUCCGCCUGGGGAGUACGGUCGCAAGACUGAAACUCAAAGGAAUUGACGGGGGCCCGCACAAGCGGUGGAGCAUGUGGUUUAAUUCGAAGCAACGCGAAGAACCUUACCAGGUCUUGACAUCCUCUGACAAUCCUAGAGAUAGGACGUCCCCUUCGGGGGCAGAGUGACAGGUGGUGC